Molecule: ribosomal RNA, 626 nt
Filed under: uncultured bacterium
Lineage: Bacteria
Description: bacterial SSU rRNA
Rfam family: Bacterial small subunit ribosomal RNA (bases 1-542)
Source: RNAcentral
CCUACGGGAGGCAGCAGUGGGGAAUAUUGGACAAUGGGCGAAAGCCUGAUCCAGCAAUGCCGCGUGUGUGAAGAAGGCCUUCGGGUUGUAAAGCACUUUAAGUUGGGAAGAAAAAGCUCUGGCUAAUAUCUAGAGCCUUGACGGUACCAACAGAAUAAGCACCGGCUAACUCUGUGCCAGCAGCCGCGGUAAUACAGAGGGUGCUAGCGUUAAUCGGAUUUACUGGGCGUAAAGCGUGCGUAGGCGGUUUGAUAAGUCGAUUGUGAAAGCCCCGGGCUUAACCUGGGAAUUGCAGUUGAUACUGUCAGACUAGAAAACGGUAGAGGGAGGCGGAACUCCAGGUGUAGCGGUGAAAUGCGUAGAUAUCUGGAAGAACACCGAUGGCGAAGGCAACCUCCUGGGCCUGUUUUGACGCUGAGGCACGAAAGCGUGGGUAGCAAACAGGAUUAGAUACCCUGGUAGUCCACGCCGUAAACGAUGAGAACUUGACGUUGGUUUGCUUAGCAAGUCGGUGUCGUAGCUAACGCGAUAAGUUCUCCGCCUGGGGAGGUACGGCGCGAGUAGAACGACGAAUAGAAGUAGUACGGCGUGAGACGUAGACCGACGGACGACGACGAGGGAGGAGG